CCUACGGGAGGCUGCAGUGAGGAAUAUUGGUCAAUGGCCGGAAGGCUGAACCAGCCAAGCCGCGUGAGGGAGGAAGGCGCAGAGCGUCGCAGACCUCUUUUGCCGGGGGACAAAAGCCCGGACUCGUCCGGUCCUGAGGGUACCCGGAGAAAAAGCAUCGGCUAACUCCGUGCCAGCAGCCGCGGUAAUACGGAGGAUGCGAGCGUUAUCCGGAUUCAUUGGGUUUAAAGGGUGCGCAGGCGGGCCUUUAAGCCGGCGGUGAAAGCCCGGGGCUCAACCCCGCCGCGCCGUCGGAACUGGGGGCCUUGAGUGCGGCGGAGGCAUGCGGAAUGCGUGGUGUAGCGGUGAAAUGCAUAGAUAUCACGCAGAACUCCGAUUGCGAAGGCAGCAUACCGGCGCCCGACUGACGCUGAGGCACGAAAGCGUGGGGAUCGAACAGGAUUAGAUACCCGAGUAGUC
This 459-nucleotide ribosomal RNA is filed under the name uncultured bacterium. RNAcentral describes it as "partial 16S ribosomal RNA". It matches the Rfam family "Bacterial small subunit ribosomal RNA", at positions 338 to 795 of the family's 1533-position model. The record is from RNAcentral.